AGCGCACACACACACACAGCGAAACAGUUGCGUGUGCUUAAAGCCUGCACCAACAACAAUCUGCACAUGUAUAUAUGUAUGUAUGUAUGUGUGUAUAAAUAUAUACAUACAUAUAUAGGCUAUGGCUACAGGAGCAAGGCAACCAACUGAGACCUACAACAACUGUGCCAGCAGUGCGAUGCCGAGAAAGCUCUCCACUCGAAACGCGAAAUGCGAAAACCAAGCCGAGAGAAUCCUAACGGCGGUCGUCGUGUCCCUUCGGCUGUAUUCGGUAAACCGGUCGCACCCAGAAUUUUCGCGGCUUCGUGAUGUAAGUGCCACUGUGCCAGUCGGUCUCGGUCUCCGCAAAAAAAUCAAACACGCCCGAGCUGAGUCCGUGAGCGAGUUGAGUCGAGUCGAGUCGAGUCGUUAACGCCGAGCGGAUACAAUUUUGUUAAAAAAAAGCCCAGGCAUAGAUACAUUUUCCACCUCUUUGUUGUGUUAAAGUCAAAGAACUAAGAUAAGACUUUCAGAUCUAGCAAAUAUGUCCCAUAGUUCCCCGAGAAGCGUAGCCACAGCUGUAACCACUUAACAAACAAUGCCAAAAGUUAAGGCGAAACGAAGCUCUAGCAAUCGAAACCAAUAAAAUGAACACCGUCGCCUGCAACACCAACAUCAACAUCGGUCACUUCGAGCAGGUUGCAGGCACUCAAAGGACAAUUAUAGCUGGAAUAACAUCAAACCGUAACGGAACAUCCACAACGAUAUUGAACGAGCGAUGAGAUGGAGCGUCCGUUGGGAUGACGAACUCAGAAACUCAGUAAGGUAGCUGCAACUGAAACUGAAACUGAAACUGAAACUGAAACCACAGCGGAAUCCGACGGAAUUUAGUGGCGACAAAUAUAGAAAAUCUCUGAAAUUUAAAACCCCAAAAACAAAAACCAAAAAAAAACAAAGAAGAAAAACCAAAGAAAAAAAACGCAAACGGCAGAGGCAGAGCCAUGAACAGUGCGGAUAUUUUGUAAUUAUUAAUGAGCGCAUAGAGCGGGGCAGUGUGAGCGGGGUGUAGCAGCGCAGAACAGAGCGAUACGUAGCGGGAUAUCACGAUGUACACUCUGCUGGAGCUCCACUAACACACUGACACACACACACACACAGACACUCACUCCCAGGCCCAGGACCCCCAAUCCCGACAGAAUCCCCACAGGACAGAACAGGACGACGGAGAAAGGCAGGAAGGAAAGGCAACGAAAGGCUCAAUUUCAAGGAAUUUGCAAAGCGCUCGCACACAAACUCACUAACCCACACACACACACACAGACACACACAUGAGCGGGCAUCUCUCUCGUCAGAAUAGAAGUAAUUAAAAGUAAAUAAAGAGGAGGCAAAAGAAAACCAAAAAAAAAAAAAAAGAAGUCCCUAAGAGCGUCGCUGAAACGCUGGAAAGGCAGGAAGUAACCUGAUUACGGGCAGAGCAGAAAAAGCGGCAGCAGCAGCAGCAGCAGCAAUUAAUGCCGCAGGAGGAAGAAAUCGGAACCAAAACCAGUUGCCGAGGAAGCGCAUCAGGAUCUGUUGCCACUGGCCUGAGCUCGACUCGAUCUCCCAUCAGGACGCGGACCGGCGUGAAUUGGAGAAAGGAACGGCGGCGGAGAAAGAAGUCUCCAAAGGGAACCACUCUUUCUCUCUCUAUCUAUCUCUCUCUCUCUCUCUCUAAGCACACCCACUCAACCAUACACAUGCACUGAAGUACUGACUGAAUGCCUCGCUGCCUAAACAACCAACUAACUCACUGACUGAGAGACUUCAACAAGCGGAGAAGUACGGAGAAAGCCCUGGACUAGAAGCGCAAGUAGCCGAGCGAAAACGGGGGAAACCAGCUAGCAACUAAACUAAAGGAGCAACCUUGACUAAUAACUGCAACAGCAAGAACAACAACAACAAC
This is a long non-coding RNA of Drosophila eugracilis, 1921 nucleotides long. RefSeq lists it as uncharacterized. The transcript has 2 exons. The record is from RefSeq and is a predicted model, not a curated record. NCBI's taxonomy places the organism in Eukaryota, Metazoa, Arthropoda, Insecta, Diptera, Drosophilidae.